RNAcentral lists this transfer RNA (86 nucleotides) under Geobacter sp. RNAcentral's name for it is "tRNA-Leu". It matches the Rfam family "tRNA". From Rfam's summary of the family: Transfer RNA (tRNA) molecules are approximately 80 nucleotides in length. Lineage: Bacteria; Pseudomonadati; Thermodesulfobacteriota; Desulfuromonadia; Geobacterales; Geobacteraceae. The record is from RNAcentral. RNAcentral also lists the same sequence under 2 other names.
GCCAGAGUGGCGGAAUGGUAGACGCAGUGGACUCAAAAUCCACCGGGGGCAACCUCGUGCCGGUUCGAGUCCGGCCUCUGGUACCA